UCAUAUUUAAAGGUAAUAGGUUUAAAAGCUAGAUUAGCUAGUUUUUGAUUAAAAGGGAAACAGGUUUAAUUCCUGUACGGUCCCGCCGCUGUAAUAGAGGAGUCCCUCUGAGAAUGCCACUGAACAAUUGGGAAGGCAAGAGGUGAUUAUGAUACUAGAGUCAGAAGACCUGCCUGUUGCUAUAGAGAUCA
This 191-nucleotide non-coding RNA is filed under the name Clostridium magnum. The record is from RNAcentral. RNAcentral also lists the same sequence under 1 other name. Lineage: Bacteria; Bacillati; Bacillota; Clostridia; Eubacteriales; Clostridiaceae.